This 494-nucleotide ribosomal RNA is filed under the name uncultured bacterium. Its description in RNAcentral is "partial 16S ribosomal RNA". It matches the Rfam family "Bacterial small subunit ribosomal RNA", at positions 28 to 507 of the family's 1533-position model. The record is from RNAcentral.
GACGAACGCUGGCGGCGUGCUUAACACAUGCAAGUCGAACGGAAAGGCCCUCCUUCCCUUGUGGGUUGCGGGUACUCCAGUGGCGAACGGGUGAGUAACACGUGCGUUAUCUUCCCCCAACUUUGGUAUAAGCCUGGGAAACUGGGUCUUAUUCCCGCUUGGUCCGCAGGGGGGGUUCUGGGGUUGAAAACGAUUUUCUUGGGGUUGGGGAUGAGCUCGCGGCCUAUCAGCUUGUUGGUUGGGUAAUGGCCUACCAAGGCGGCGACGGGUAGCCGGCCCGGGAGGGUGGACGGCCACAUUGGGACUGAGAUACGGCCCAGACUACUACGGGAGGCAGCAGUGGGGAAUAUUGCACAAUGGGCGGAAGCCUGAUGCAGCGACGCCGAGUGGGGGAUGACGGCCUUCGGGUUGUAAACUCCUUUCGACCGCGAGGAAGCCACCUGGUUGGAAGGGUGGUGACGGUAGUGGUAGAAGAAGCACCGGCUAACUACGUG